Molecule: ribosomal RNA, 497 nt
Filed under: uncultured bacterium
Lineage: Bacteria
Description: partial 16S ribosomal RNA
Rfam family: Bacterial small subunit ribosomal RNA
Source: RNAcentral
GAUGAACGCUGGCGGCGUGCCUAAUACAUGCAAGUCGAGCGAACGGACGAGAAGCUUGCUUCUCUGAUGUUAGCGGCGGACGGGUGAGUAACACGUGGAUAACCUACCUAUAAGACUGGGAUAACUUCGGGAAACCGGAGCUAAUACCGGAUAAUAUUUUGAACCGCAUGGUUCAAAAGUGAAAGACGGUCUUGCUGUCACUUAUAGAUGGAUCCGCGCUGCAUUAGCUAGUUGGUAAGGUAACGGCUUACCAAGGCAACGAUGCAUAGCCGACCUGAGAGGAUGAUCGGCCACACUGGAGCUGAGACACGGUCCAGACUCCUACGGGAGGCAGCAGUAGGGAAUCUUCCGCAAUGGGCGAAAGCCUGACGGAGCAACGCCGCGUGAGUGAUGAAGGUCUUCGGAUCGUAAAACUCUGUUAUUAGGGAAGAACAUAUGUGUAAGUAACUGUGCACAUCUUGACGGUACCUAAUCAGAAAGCCACGGCUAACUACGUG